GCCGGGCGUGGUAGCUCACGCCUGUAAUCCCAGAACUUUGGGAGGCUGAGGCGGGCGGAUCACUUGAGGUCAGGAGUUUGAGACUAGCCUGGCCAACAUGGUGAAACCCCGUCUCUA
This 117-nucleotide non-coding RNA is filed under the name Nomascus leucogenys (northern white-cheeked gibbon). The record is from Rfam by way of RNAcentral. Lineage: Eukaryota; Metazoa; Chordata; Mammalia; Primates; Hylobatidae.